UACGGGGGGAGCAAGCGUUGUUCGGAUUUACUGGGCGUAAAGGGCGCGUAGGCGGCCACCGCAAGUCGGUUGUGAAAUCCCUCGGCUCAACCGAGGAACUGCAUCCGAUACUGGCGGGCUUGAAUCCGGGAGAGGGAUGUGGAAUUCCAGGUGUAGCGGUGAAAUGCGUAGAUAUCUGGAGGAACACCGGUGGCGAAGGCGGCCCACUGGGUCUUUUCUGACGCUGAGGGACGAAAGCUAGGGGAGCGAACGGG
Molecule: ribosomal RNA, 254 nt
Filed under: uncultured bacterium
Lineage: Bacteria
Description: partial 16S ribosomal RNA
Rfam family: Bacterial small subunit ribosomal RNA
Source: RNAcentral